CCCUUAGAUGUUCUGGGCCGCACGCGCGCUACACUGAAUGGAUCAACGUGUUUUCCCUUCCCGAGAGGGACGGGUAACCCGCUGAACCCCAUUCGUGGUAGGGAUCGGAGCUUGCAAUUGUUCUCCGUGAACCAGGAAUUCCCAGUAAGCGCAAGUCAUAAGCUUGCGCUGAUUACGUCCCUGCCCUUUGUACACACCGCCCGUCGCUGCCCGGAACUGAGCCAUUUCGAGAAAAAUGGGGACAGACUGCUUGUGGGUGCGCAAGCACUUCUUGCAGAUUGAAACCAUCUUGAUCGGUAUGGCUUGAACCGGGCAAAANUCGUANCA
This 327-nucleotide ribosomal RNA is filed under the name uncultured eukaryote. Its description in RNAcentral is "partial 18S ribosomal RNA". It matches the Rfam family "Eukaryotic small subunit ribosomal RNA", at positions 1470 to 1796 of the family's 1831-position model. The record is from RNAcentral.